CGGUGGAGCAUGUGGUUCAAUUCGAUGCAAACCGAAGAACUUACCGGGCUUGACAUGCUGGUGGUACCGACCCGAAAGGAAGGGACCCAUGGCCUUCGGGCGCUUGGGAACCGGCACAGGUGCUGCAUGGCUGUCGUCAGCUCGUGUCGUGGGAUGUUGGGUUAAGUCCUGAAACGAGCGCAACCCCUGCUGCCCGUUGCCAACGGACCCUGCGGGGUGCCGGGGACUCAGGCGGGACUGCCGGCGAAUAGCCGGAGGAAGGAGGGGAUGAUGUCAAGUCCUCAUGGCCCUUAUGUCCGGGGCUACACACAUGCUACAGUGCCCAGCACAAUGGGUCGCCAACCCGCAAGGGGGAGCCAAUCCCAUCAAAACUGGGCAUGGUUCGGAUUGCAGGCUGCAACCCGCCUGCAUGAAGCCGGAAUCGCUAGUAAUCGCGGGUCAGCCACACCGCGGUGAAUACGUACUCGGGGCUU
This 473-nucleotide ribosomal RNA is filed under the name uncultured Acetothermia bacterium. RNAcentral describes it as "bacterial SSU rRNA". It matches the Rfam family "Bacterial small subunit ribosomal RNA", at positions 930 to 1382 of the family's 1533-position model. The record is from RNAcentral. Lineage: Bacteria; Candidatus Bipolaricaulota.